UCGUGCUAGACGGGGAGGUAGCGGUGCCCUGAACCUGCAAUCCGCUAUAGCAGGGUCGAAUUCCUGUCUGCGGCCUUUUUCUUGUGGGGACUGCCCCGGGCAAGUGGUGUCGAAGGCUUGGUCCUGUGCGGCGCAGGCCCACGAACCCCGUCAGAUCCGGGAGGAAGCAGCGGUAAGUGGAACCCUGCGGGUGCCACGGGGAAGCCGAGCUGGAGCUAACUGACCGGGUUACGCUCGGAAGGAGAGGUCAAAGACAGGUGCACGG
This 265-nucleotide signal recognition particle RNA is filed under the name Bacillota bacterium. RNAcentral's name for it is "Firmicutes bacterium (anaerobic digester metagenome) signal recognition particle sRNA large type". It matches the Rfam family "Bacterial large signal recognition particle RNA". Rfam says of the family: The signal recognition particle (SRP) is a universally conserved ribonucleoprotein involved in the co-translational targeting of proteins to membranes. Archaeal SRP consists of a 7S RNA and homologues of the eukaryotic SRP19 and SRP54 proteins. Lineage: Bacteria; Bacillati; Bacillota. RNAcentral also lists the same sequence under 1 other name. The record is from RNAcentral.